AUACGGAGGGGGCUAGCGUUGUUCGGAAUUACUGGGCGUAAAGCGCGCGUAGGCGGAUCGUUAAGUCAGGGGUGAAAGCCCGGAGCUCAACUCCGGAACUGCCCUUGAUACUGGCGAUCUAGAGUCCGGGAGAGGUGAGCGGAAUUCCUAGUGUAGAGGUGAAAUUCGUAGAUAUUAGGAGGAACACCAGUGGCGAAGGCGGCUCACUGGCCCGGUACUGACGCUGAGGUGCGAAAGCGUGGGGAGCAAACAGGAUUAGAAACCCCUGUAGUCC
Molecule: ribosomal RNA, 274 nt
Filed under: uncultured bacterium
Lineage: Bacteria
Description: partial 16S ribosomal RNA
Rfam family: Bacterial small subunit ribosomal RNA
Source: RNAcentral